Molecule: long non-coding RNA, 255 nt
Organism: Sinocyclocheilus rhinocerous
Lineage: Eukaryota; Metazoa; Chordata; Actinopteri; Cypriniformes; Cyprinidae
Exons: 3
Source: RefSeq, a predicted model, not a curated record
UGGUGGUGCUCCUCAACAGAGAGGUGGACGUGGACCAAGAGAAAGAGGUGGUGGUGCUCCUCAACAGAGAGGUGGACAUGGAGAAAGAGGUGGUGGUGCUCCUCAACAGAGAGGUGGACAUGGACCAAGAGAAAGAGGUGGUGGUGCUCCUCAACAGAGAGGUGGUCUUCAGAGAAAUGUAGGCAGAAGACCGCGCACCAUCUCUAAUGAAGUCCGGGCCAUCAUUGCUGACCAUGUGGUUAACAGAGGCCAUAC